AUCCUGGCUCAGAGCGAACGCUGGCGGCAGGCUUAACACAUGCAGGUCGAGCGGGCCCUUCGGGGUCAGCGGCAGACGGGUGAGUAACGCGUGGGAACGUGCCCUUCGGUUCGGAAUAACCCUGGGAAACUAGGGCUAAUACCGGAUACGCCCCUUGGGGGAAAGGUUUACUGCCGAAGGAUCGGCCCGCGUCUGAUUAGCUAGUUGGUGAGGUAACGGCUCACCAAGGCGACGAUCAGUAGCUGGUCUGAGAGGAUGAUCAGCCACACUGGGACUGAGACACGGCCCAGACUCCUACGGGAGGCAGCAGAAGGG
Molecule: ribosomal RNA, 315 nt
Filed under: uncultured Methylobacterium sp.
Lineage: Bacteria; Pseudomonadati; Pseudomonadota; Alphaproteobacteria; Hyphomicrobiales; Methylobacteriaceae
Description: bacterial SSU rRNA
Rfam family: Bacterial small subunit ribosomal RNA
Source: RNAcentral